UUCAACCAUCAUUUAUUUAAAAAUUCAAAUGUACAAACAAUUGUCGAUUUGUUUAAUGCUGAACCUAUAUAAUGAAGUCAAUAUCAUAAAAUACAAUCUAUUUACUGAGCUGUUAUUCUCAUUGCAGGAUGUGCUAGCAGAUGAUUCAAAAUCAAUGCGAAAGUACAUUUAUCAUAAUUCGGGGUUUAGACAACUACGAAGGACCAUGCAGAUUACAAGAUUUGGGUCAUUUCAAGAAGAUUUGAUUCAAGAUCUUGUUUUGGAAUUGUCUCGUACAGUAAAAGUAUCACAUGAGGACAUUCUGAAUAUUUUCUUGCCAGAGGUUCUUUUGAGGGUCAUUCAGAAGCAAGAGGGAUUGAACAGGCUUUUACCUGAAUUCAUCUUAAUGGGAAAGUACCAGCAAUCACUUCAACAACAGAAUUUAGAUAUUGUAUUGUAAUUUGAUCUGUUCUGCUUAUUUAUUUUAUGAGGAUCACAAACAGUCCUAGAUGCUCUCCUCAACACAAAAGCAAUACAGUUUGUAUAAGACGUAAUUACAUCACAUGCUCUUUCACUCGCCCAUACACUCAAUAACAUAAAGAAAAGAAGAGGAAAGGAUAUGAAAAGUGAGGGGGUUUCAGAGGAUGAGAUUAGAACCUGAUGAUUGAUUUUCCCUUUCCCAUGACCAUCAAUGUAUAAAGGAUUUGAAGCUAAAUAGAAAAGCUUUGUUAGUGUAUUGACUUUUGAACUGUGGACAUGCCAGUAAAGUGCCCAUGUAGCAAAGUGUGUAAAUAGAAAAGCUUUGUUAGUGUAUUGACUUUUGAACUGUGGACAUGCCAGUAAAGUGCCCAUGUAGCAAAGUGUGUAAAUAGUAAAGCUUUGCUAGUGUAUUGACUUUUGAACUGUGGACAUGCCAGUAAAGUGCCCAUGUAGCAAAGUGUGUAAAUAGAAAAGCUUUGUUAGUGUAUUGACUUUUGAACUGUGGACAUGCCAGUAAAGUGCCCAUGUAGCAAAGUGUGUAAAUAGAAAAGCUUUGUUAGUGUAUUGACUUUUGAACUGUGGACAUGCCAGUAAAGUGCCCAUGUAGCAAAGUGUGUAAAUAGAAAAGCUUUGUUAGUGUAUUGACUUUUGAACUGUGGACAUGCCAGUAAAGUGCCCAUGUAGCAAAGUGUGUAAAUAGAAAAGCUUUGCUAGUGUAUUGACUUUUGAACUGUGGACAUGCCAGUAAAGUGCCCAUGUAGCAAAGUGUGUAAAUAGUAAAGCUUUGCUAGUGUAUUGACUUUUGAACUGUGGACAUGCCAGUAAAGUGCCCAUGUAGCAAAGUGUGUAAAUAGAAAAGCUUUGUUAGUGUAUUGACUUUUGAACUGUGGACAUGCCAGUAAAGUGCCCAUGUAGCAAAGUGUGUAAGUAGAAAAGCUUUGCUAGUGUAUUGACAUUUGAACUGUGGACAUGCCAGUAAAGUGCCCAUGUAGCAAAGUGUGUAAAUAGAAAAGCUUUGUUAGUGUAUUGACUUUUGAACUGUGGACAUGCCAGUAAAGUGCCCAUGUAGCAAAGUGUGUAAAUAGAAAAGCUUUGUUAGUGUAUUGACUUUUGAACUGUGGACAUGCCAGUAAAGUGCCCAUGUAGCAAAGUGUGUAAAUAGUAAAGCUUUGCUAGUGUAUUGACUUUUGAACUGUGGACAUGCCAGUAAAGUGCCCAUGUAGCAAAGUGUGUAAAUAGAAAAGCUUUGUUAGUGUAUUGACUUUUGAACUGUGGACAUGCCAGUAAAGUGCCCAUGUAGCAAAGUGUGUAAAUAGAAAAGCUUUGUUAGUGUAUUGACUUUUGAACUGUGGACAUGCCAGUAAAGUGCCCAUGUAGCAAAGUGUGUAAAUAGAAAUGUAGUCAAUCUUUAAUCCAAGUUAUAUCAAAAGGUAUACAGUAUACUACUAAAUACUAUCCAUAGAUUGUACACAUACCAUUUAAUACUUUUUCAAAACA
This is a long non-coding RNA of Pecten maximus, 1956 nucleotides long. RefSeq lists it as uncharacterized. The record is from RefSeq and is a predicted model, not a curated record. The transcript is spliced from 3 exons. Lineage: Eukaryota; Metazoa; Mollusca; Bivalvia; Pectinida; Pectinidae.